CCUACGGGUGGCAGCAGUGGGGGAUAUUGCACAAUGGGGGAAACCCUGAUGCAGCGACGCCGCGUGGGCGAAGAAGUAUUUCGGUAUGUAAAGCCUUAUCAGCAGGGAAGUAGAAAUGACGGUACCUGAGUAAGAAGCACCGGCUAAAUACGUCCCAGCAGCCGCGGUAAAACGGAUGGUGCCAGCGUUAUCCGGAUUUAGAGGGUGUAAAGGGAGCGUAGACGGCGAUGCAAGUCUGAAGUGAAAGUCGGGGGCGCAACCCCCGGACUACAUUGGAAACUGUAUGGCUGGAGUGCAGUAGAGGUAAGUGGAAUUCCUAGUGUAGCGGUGAAAUGCGUAGAUAUUAGGAGGAACACCAGUUGCGAAGGCGGCUUACUGGACUGUAACUGACGUUGAGGCUCGAAAGCGUGGGGAGCAAACAGGAUUAGAUACCCCAGUAGUC
RNAcentral lists this ribosomal RNA (442 nucleotides) under uncultured bacterium. RNAcentral describes it as "partial 16S ribosomal RNA". It matches the Rfam family "Bacterial small subunit ribosomal RNA", at positions 338 to 795 of the family's 1533-position model. The record is from RNAcentral.